AGAUUGAACGCUGGCGGCAUGCCUUACACAUGCAAGUCGAACGGUAGAGUAGCAAUACUCGAGAGUGGCGAACGGGUGAGUAAUAUAUCGGAACGUGCCCAGUCGUGGGGGAUAACGUAGAGAAAUUUACGCUAAUACCGCAUACGAUCUAAGGAUGAAAGCGGGGGAUCGCAAGACCUCGCGCGAUUGGAGCGGCUGAUAUCAGAUUAGGUUGUUGGUGAGGUAAAAGCUCACCAAGCCGACGAUCUGUAGCUGGUUUGAGAGAACGACCAGCCACACUGGGACUGAGACACGGCCCAGACUCCUACGGGAGGCAGCAGUGGGAAUUUUGGACAAUGGGCGAAAGCCUGAUCCAGCCAUCGCCGCGUGCAGGAUGGAAGGUCCGUUCGGUUAGUUAAACGUGUACGUUUGUAACGGAACGUAAAAGUCUUCUUUACUAAGUUAAACGAGG
This 451-nucleotide ribosomal RNA is filed under the name uncultured soil bacterium. RNAcentral describes it as "bacterial SSU rRNA". It matches the Rfam family "Bacterial small subunit ribosomal RNA", at positions 26 to 487 of the family's 1533-position model. The record is from RNAcentral.